AUGCAGAUCCGUCACAGCCCACGUUCGCAUGCUCCGUCCUUGGCGGGCGCAGGGGCGCCGGGAUGGACGACGACGCUGCUCCGUCCGGCACGGGGACCGGGGCGCCGGGUUGGACCGCGUUCACUGCUGGUGCCUUGGGCGCCUCGCUCGGAGCUGAAAUUUUUGCACCCGAGCGCCUGCAUAAGCCAUGGCGCCACCACGACCACGCCCAAGCAGGCGCGUGCAGUAGCAGGUUCCGAUGUACGGGCCUCGUCGGCCACCACUAGCGCUCGUGUCCAAGGCAAGCUGCUCCUGCAGAGCUCCGUGGACUCGCCCGACGGCCGGCUCAGGCUGUCCGUCCAGCUCGUCAGCGCCACCGUCGCCGGGAGUGAUGGGCGUGGCAUGAGAGGGGAGGCGGCGGCGCUGGACGCCGUCAUAGCGAGCGGAGAGACAGAGCUCGACGUGGAGCUGCCGUGGGACGACGAAGCCCUGGGCGCGCCCGGCGCGGUGCUCGUGACAAACCACUCCGACCUCCCCGUGUACCUGAAGCUGCUGAGCCUGACCUCGCCGGCCGUCCACUUCGUCUGCGACGGAUGGGUCUAUCCCGUCGGGAAGCACCCGUACCGCCUCUUCUUCACCAACGACGCGUACGUGAAGGAAAACACACCGGCGGCGUUGCUCAAGGACAGAGAAGACGAGCUCCGUCAGCUCCGGGGAGAGGGCGUGCCGGCCGACGAGCCGCUCCAGAAAUGGGACCGCGUCUACGACUACGCGCUCUACAACGACCUGGGGAACCCUGACCUACGAAAGGACCUGGCACGCCCGGUGCUGGGAGGGUCGGAAGAGUACCCGUACCCUCGCCGUACCAGGACCAGCCGACCUCCGACCAAGACAGAUCCUGAGAGCGAGGCUAGAGUGCCAGUGGAGCAAGAGGUGUACAUCCCCUGCGACGAGCGGGUCGGCCCCGCGGUCUCAGCGCCCAGCCUUCCAAAACUCGGCGGCCAUUUCAAGUCCUUGGCCGACAUUUACAGCCUCUUUGGACUUGGCCGGCCAACGCUUCUUUACGUAGCCAUCCAGAUUGUGGCUACUCUCUUCCGUAUACUAGAUUCAAACCGUUACACUAUCAAGGAGCUCAUCGACGGCACCGUCAAGCCCGUGCUCUCCCUCCCACAGGUCAUCUCAGCGAAUCCAAAGAAAUGGCGGACAGAUGAAGAAUUCGCUAGGGAAAUGCUCGCAGGGACAAGUCCCGUGGCCAUCAAGCGUGUCACGGAGUUCCCACUCACCAGCAAGCUUGAACGGGCUGUGUAUGGUGACCAAAACAGCAGGAUAACCAAAGAGCACGUUGAGAAGAACAUGGGUGGUAGCAUGGCUGUGCCGCAGGCCAUACAAGAGGGCAAGCUCUACUUUGUGGAUCAUCACGACUGGGUAAUGCCGUACCUGAAGCGCAUCAACGAGCUGCCAGGCGCCGAGGAGAUGGGCGAGAUCUCCCAGAGGAAGGUGUAUGCUGCUAGGACGCUCUUGCUCUUGCAAGACGACUCGACACUCAAGCCGCUGGCGAUCGAGCUCAGCUCGCCGGACCCGGAGGACGAGCGGCACGGCGCCAUCAGCACGGUGUACACUCCGCCGGUGGACAGGGCCGGCGACGAUACCUUCACGGCGUGGGAACUCGCCAAGGCCCACGCGGCCGCCAACGACGCCUGCAAGAACAACUUCGUCCAUCACUGGCUGAACGCGCACGCGACGAUGGAGCCGGUGGUGAUCGCGGCGAACCGGCAGCUCAGCGUGCUACACCCGAUCCACAAGCUACUGAAGCCGCACUUCCGGAAGACCCUGGAGAUCAAUGCCACGGCGCGGCAGAUCAUCUUCGGCGCAGGCGACCGGCGAAAGGGUGGUGGCAUAUAUCGCGGCAUCCACGAGGUUGCCUUCUUCCCCAGCAAGUACGGCAUGGAGAUGUCCUCCAAGGCGUACAGGACAUGGAACUUCACCGACCUUGCUCUCCCCAACGAACUCAUUAAGAGAGGUGUGGCGAGAGGCGAUCCCAAGAAGCCCGAAGAGCUGGAGCUGCUGAUAAAGGACUACCCGUACGCGGUGGACGGGCUGGAGAUCUGGACCGCCAUCAAGGAGUGGGUCACCGACUACUGCGUGAUAUACUACGGCGACGGCGACGGCGCCGUCGCGGGCGACAGCGAGCUGCGGGCGUGGUGGAGCGAGGUGCGAAACGUGGGCCACGGCGACCUGAGCGACGCGCCGUGGUGGCCGGCGAUGGACUGCGUCGACGACCUCGUGGAGACCUGCGCCACCAUCAUCUGGCUCGGCUCCGCCUACCACUCGGCCGUCAGCUUCGGGCAGUACGCCUACAACGGUUUCGUCCCCAACCGCCCCACCAUCACCUCCGGGGAGGUGCCGUCCGACGCAGGUGCGGUGGUGACCGAGGCGGAGUUCCUCGGCCACAUCACCCCGAGGAACGAGGCGUUCGGCCUCAUGGCGCUCACCAUGAGCCCGCCGGUGAAGCCGGGAGAGCCGCUCAUGGGAGAGCGGCCGGACACGGAGCGGUGGACCAGCGAGCAGCGGGCGGCCAAGGCGCUGCUCGAGUUCAACGCCAAGCUGGACGCGGUCGCGGAGGCCAUCAAGAAGAGGAACGCCGACGGCGCGCUAAGGAACCGGAAUGGGCCCGUGGAGGUGCCCUACACGCUGCUCGCGCCGAGGGCCGACCCUGCGGCACCGCACGUCGGCGGGAUCCCCAACAGCAUCGCCGUUUGA
This 2739-nucleotide ribosomal RNA is filed under the name Triticum aestivum (bread wheat). RNAcentral's name for it is "partial small subunit ribosomal RNA". The record is from RNAcentral. Lineage: Eukaryota; Viridiplantae; Streptophyta; Magnoliopsida; Poales; Poaceae.